RNAcentral lists this ribosomal RNA (791 nucleotides) under uncultured archaeon. RNAcentral's name for it is "bacterial SSU rRNA". It matches the Rfam family "Archaeal small subunit ribosomal RNA", at positions 85 to 879 of the family's 1478-position model. The record is from RNAcentral.
ACUGCUCAGUAACACGUGGAUAACCUGCCCAAGGGUCCGGGAUAACCCCGGGAAACUGGGGAUAAUACCGGAUGGAUCACUAGUGCUGGAAUGCUUGGUGGUCGAAAGGCAACGCCUUUGGAUGGGUCUGCGGCGGAUUAGGUUGACGCCGGUGUAACGUACCGGCGUGCCUGUAAUCCGUACGGGUUGUGGGAGCAAGAGCCCGGAGAUGGAUUCUGAGACACGAAUCCAGGCCCUACGGGGCGCAGCAGGCGCGAAAACUCUACAAUGCAGGCAACUGCGAUAGGGGGACAUCGAGUGGCAUCCACCUUGGGUGCCUGUCCAACCGUCUAAAAAACGGUUGUUAGCAAGGGCCGGGUAAGACCGGUGCCAGCCGCCGCGGUAAUACCGGCGGCUCGAGUGGUGGCCGAUAUUAUUGAGUCUAAAGGGUCCGUAGCCGGCUUUGCAAGUCCCCUGGGAAAUCCAGCGGCUUAACCGUUGGGCUUUCAUGGGAUACUACAUUGCUUGGGACUGGGAGAGGUAGGAGGUACUCGGGGGGUAGGGGUGAAAUCCUGUAAUCCUCCGGGGACCACCGGUGGCGAAGGCGUCCUACCAGAACAGGUCCGACGGUGAGGGACGAAAGCUAGGGGCACGAACCGGAUUAGAUACCCGGGUAGUCCUAGCCGUAAACGAUGCCCGCUAGGUGUCACGACGGUCGUGAAUCGUCGUGGUGCCGUAGGGAAGCCGCGAAGCGGGCCACUUGGGAAGUACGGCCGCAAGGCUGAAACUUAAAGGAAUUGGCGGGGGAGCAC